Molecule: ribosomal RNA, 380 nt
Filed under: uncultured eukaryote
Lineage: Eukaryota
Description: partial 18S ribosomal RNA
Rfam family: Eukaryotic small subunit ribosomal RNA
Source: RNAcentral
CAAUAGCGUAUAUUAAAGUUGUUGCGGUUAAAAAGCUCGUAGUUGGAUUUCUGCUGAGAACGACCGGUCCGCCCUUUGGGUGUGUAUCUGGCUCUUUCUUGGCAUCUUCUUGGUGAACGUUGCUGCACUUGACUGUGUGGAGCGCUACCCAGGACUUUUACUUUGAGGAAAUUAGAGUGUUUCAAGCAGGCAUACGCCUUGAAUACAUUAGCAUGGAAUAAUAAGAUAGGACCUCGGUUCUAUUUUGUUGGUUUCUAGAGCUGAGGUAAUGAUUAAUAGGGAUAGUUGGGGGCAUUCGUAUUUAACUGUCAGAGGUGAAAUUCUUGUAUUUGUUAAAGACGGACUACUGCGAAAGCAUUUGCCAAGGAUGUUUUCAUUGA